GCCAGGCAUGGUGGCGGGUGCCUGUGGUCCCAGCUACUUGGGAGGCUGAGUCAGGAGAAUGGUGUGAACCCGGGAGGCGGAGCUUGCAGUGAGCCGAGAUCGUGCCACUGCACUUCAGCCUGGGCACAGAGCGAAAUAAUGGCCAAAGUUUUUCUUUAUUCUUUUUUUUUUUUUUUUUGAGGGAGUCUCACUCUGUCGCCCAGGCUGGAGUGCACUGGCACAAUCUCGGCUCACUGCAAGCUCCACCUCCUAGGUUCACACCAUUCUCCUGCCUCAG
Molecule: small RNA, 277 nt
Filed under: Pongo abelii (Sumatran orangutan)
Lineage: Eukaryota; Metazoa; Chordata; Mammalia; Primates; Hominidae
Description: Metazoan signal recognition particle RNA (ENSPPYG00000038361.1)
Rfam family: Metazoan signal recognition particle RNA
About the family: The signal recognition particle (SRP) is a universally conserved ribonucleoprotein. It is involved in the co-translational targeting of proteins to membranes.
Source: Rfam by way of RNAcentral